This 48-nucleotide non-coding RNA is filed under the name Schistosoma mansoni. The record is from RNAcentral. Lineage: Eukaryota; Metazoa; Platyhelminthes; Trematoda; Strigeidida; Schistosomatidae.
AUCCAUCUGAUGACUCCCAAAUAGGACGAAACGCGCGUCAAACUGAAU